UAGUGAUAGCUGCUUGUUCAGGAAAAGAGCCUAAGCUCUGCCUUAAGUUUUCCUAUUUUACCAAACAAACCCUAAAACUUAAGAGUUAUUCAAAUUAGGCACAGCUUAUUUGAAACAGGAUACAACCUACUACAUUGGGUAAGCAAGAGCAGUAAAAACAAAGUGGGCCCAAAAGCAGCCACCUUCCAAAAAGCGUCAAAGCUUAAUUACUCUAACUAAUAAUCCCUAAAACACUCUCCAACCCCUCAUCCCUACUGAACUAUUUUAUAAAUCUAUAAAAAUAAUUAUGCUAGAACUAGUAACAAGAAGUUGCCCUUCUCCAUAAUGCAAGCAUAAACCAAAACGGACACUCCCUUGGUAAUCAACGUAAAUGCAAGACCAUAACAACACAACCAGAAAACCUUAUGGCCCCACACGUUACCCUAACACUAGAGCAUUACAGGAAAGAUUAAAAGAUAAAGAAGGAACUCGGCAAAUUUUAACCCCGCCUGUUUACCAAAAACAUCGCCUCCUGAUUAAAUAUAGGAGGUCCAGCCUGCCCAGUGAUAAAAUUCAACGGCCGCGGUAUACUAACCGUGCGAAGGUAGCAUAAUCACUUGUUCUUUAAAUGGGGACUCGUAUCAACGGCAUCACGAGGGUUAUACUGUCUCCUCUAUCCAAUCAGUGAAACUGAUCCCCCCGUGAAGAAGCGGGGAUUUAACCAUAAGACGAGAAGACCCCAUGGAGCUUUAAACCCAACAUACACCCCUACAUUCAAACCAACUUAACCAAAGAGGCCUGUACGUCGGUUUUAGGCUGGGGGGGCCACGGAGUAAAACUAAACCUCCAUAACAAAUGGGCUAAUACCCUAAUCUAUGACUUAUAAGUCUAAGAAUCACCAAAAUGAUGUUUAAUGACCCGAUAAUUCGAUCAAUAGACCAAGUUACCCUGGGGAUAACAGCGCAAUCCACUUCAAGAGCCCCUAUCGACAAGUGGGUUUACGACCUCGAUGUUGGAUCAGGGUAUCCUAGUGGUGCAGCCGCUACUAAUGGUUCGCUUGUUCAGCGAUUAAAACCCU
Molecule: ribosomal RNA, 1057 nt
Filed under: Odorrana tiannanensis (Dawei frog)
Lineage: Eukaryota; Metazoa; Chordata; Amphibia; Anura; Ranidae
Description: partial 16S ribosomal RNA
Rfam family: Bacterial large subunit ribosomal RNA
Source: RNAcentral